CCCCCCCCCCCCAACCCCUUUUUUUUUUUUUAAAAAAAAAUUGGAUAAAGUUUCUCUAGGGGAACCCCCGCAAGGAUCCUU
RNAcentral lists this ribosomal RNA (81 nucleotides) under Paratlanticus ussuriensis. RNAcentral describes it as "partial 18S ribosomal RNA". The record is from RNAcentral. Lineage: Eukaryota; Metazoa; Arthropoda; Insecta; Orthoptera; Tettigoniidae.